GAUGAACGCUAGCGGCAGGCCUAACACAUGCAAGUCGAACGGUAACAGGAAAUAGCUUGCUAUUUUGCUGACGAGUGGCGCACGGGUGCGUAACGCGUAUACAAUCUACCUUUUACAGGGGUAUAGCCUUUAGAAAUGAAGAUUAACACCCCAUAGUAUCUAGAGAUCGCAUGGUUUUUAGAUUAAAAUUUCGGUGGUAAAAGAUGAGUAUGCGUUCUAUUAGCUAGAUGGUGUGGUAACGGCACACCAUGGCAACGAUAGAUAGGGGCCCUGAGAGGGGGAUCCCCCACACUGGUACUGAGACACGGACCAGACUCCUACGGGAGGCAGCAGUGAGGAAUAUUGGACAAUGGGCGAGAGCCUGAUCCAGCCAUGCCGCGUGCAGGAAGACUGCCCUAUGGGUUGUAAACUGCUUUUAUAUAGGAAGAAACCUUUCCACGUGUGGAAAGCUGACGGUACUAUAAGAAUAAGGAUCGGCUAACUCCGUGCCAGCAGCCGCGGUAAUACGGAGGAUCCAAGCGUUAUCCGGAAUCAUUGGGUUUAAAGGGUCCGUAGGUGGAUGAUUAAGUCAGAGGUGA
This 578-nucleotide ribosomal RNA is filed under the name uncultured Winogradskyella sp. RNAcentral describes it as "bacterial SSU rRNA". It matches the Rfam family "Bacterial small subunit ribosomal RNA", at positions 28 to 597 of the family's 1533-position model. The record is from RNAcentral. Lineage: Bacteria; Pseudomonadati; Bacteroidota; Flavobacteriia; Flavobacteriales; Flavobacteriaceae.